AGCUUUGCGCAGUGGCGAUAUCGUAAACAAUGAGGUACAUCCGAGGUGCGAUUAUUGCUAGUUGAAAACUAGUGAAUGAUAGAAACUAUUUACGAAUUCAAUUGCAAACAAAUCCCAAUUUAUGCAUUACGGUAGUAGU
Molecule: small nuclear RNA, 139 nt
Organism: Toxorhynchites rutilus septentrionalis
Lineage: Eukaryota; Metazoa; Arthropoda; Insecta; Diptera; Culicidae
Product: U4 spliceosomal RNA
Exons: 1
Source: RefSeq, a predicted model, not a curated record